AAUAGAUACCCCGGUAGUCCACGCCGUAAACGAUGGAUGCUAGCUAUUGGGGGGAAUCGACCCCCUCCGAAGCGAAGCUAACGCAUUAAGCAUCCCGCCUGAGUAGUACGAGCGCAAGCUUAAAACUCAAAGGAAUUGACGGGGGACCCGCACAAGCGGUGGAGCGUGUGGUUUAAUUCGAUGGUAAACGAAGAACCUUACCAAGGUUUGACAUCCCGGUAGCCGUUCUCCGAAAGGAGAAUUUCAUUUAGUUGGACCGGUGACAGGUGAUGCAUGGCCGUCGUCAGCUCGUGUCGUGAGAUGUUGGGUUAAGUCCCGCAACGAGCGCAACCCUUAUGAUUUAGUUGGAUUUUUCUAAACAGACUGCCCUGGUAACAGGGAGGAAGGAGGGGAUGAUGUCAGGUCAGUAUUUCCCUUACACCUUGGGCGACACACGCGCUACAAUGGCCGGUACAAUGGGCAGCUAAGCCGCGAGGUGGAGCAAAUCCCAUCAAAGCCGGUCCCAGUUCGGAUUGCAGGCUGAAACCCGCCUGCAUGAAGCCGGAAUCGCUAGUAACC
RNAcentral lists this ribosomal RNA (558 nucleotides) under uncultured bacterium. RNAcentral describes it as "bacterial SSU rRNA". It matches the Rfam family "Bacterial small subunit ribosomal RNA", at positions 777 to 1343 of the family's 1533-position model. The record is from RNAcentral.